Molecule: long non-coding RNA, 244 nt
Organism: Myripristis murdjan (pinecone soldierfish)
Lineage: Eukaryota; Metazoa; Chordata; Actinopteri; Holocentriformes; Holocentridae
Exons: 3
Source: RefSeq, a predicted model, not a curated record
UCUGCUCCAUAAAACCUCCGUUACUGAAGGAGAGAGCCUCGGACGACACACCUGACCUCACGUCACUGUGAAACAGGGUGAAGGAAGACAAGACGGACUAAACCUCAACACGCUUCAAAGACACAGACUUCCCUAGCUCCACCCUCCAGCUGACACCAUGGAGAUCGCAGAAGAACUCAUACCGACGAUCUACUCCUACAUGGACCAACAAAUAGAGUGUGCACAGAGACUGGAGGAGCUGGCC